RNAcentral lists this ribosomal RNA (218 nucleotides) under uncultured bacterium. RNAcentral's name for it is "partial 16S ribosomal RNA". It matches the Rfam family "Bacterial small subunit ribosomal RNA", at positions 326 to 539 of the family's 1533-position model. The record is from RNAcentral.
ACGCUCGACACCUACGGUAGGCAGCAGUGAGGAAUAUUGGUCAAUGGGCGCAGGCCUGAACCAGCCAAGUAGCGUGAAGGAUGACUGCCCUAUGGGUUGUAAACUUCUUUUAUAUGGGAAUAAAGUUUUCCACGUGUGGAAUUUUGUAUGUACCAUAUGAAUAAGGAUCGGCUAACUCCGUGCUAGCAGCCGCGGUAAUCUGAGCGGGCUGGCAAGGC